RNAcentral lists this long non-coding RNA (680 nucleotides) under Salvator merianae (Argentine black and white tegu). RNAcentral's name for it is "lncRNA (ENSSMRG00000018083.1)". The record is from RNAcentral. Lineage: Eukaryota; Metazoa; Chordata; Lepidosauria; Squamata; Teiidae.
CUCGCAAGUGAGUUUUGCAGAUGGAGAAAACAGCCAAGCAGUUAGGAAUACCAGCAUNCUGCUGAUCCAUAAACUGUAUGUCUUAAUGCAGAAUCUUGGACCACUGCCUAAUGACAUUACGCUCACCAUGAAAUUGUUCUACUAUAACGAUGUCACACCCCAUGAUUACCAACCCCUUGGCUUUAACAGAUUGUCUACUUUUUGAUGGUGAACCUGUGAACCUAAAAGUUGGAUCUGUCUCCACNAAGUUCCAUGCGAUGAAAGUACGAGUGACAACCGACAGUAAACGGAUGAGGAUGCUGGAAAAAAGUGAGGGUGAAGAGAAUGGNCCCACUGAGAUCUCCCAUCAAGGACUGGACUAUGAUGAAGAGGAGGAGGAUGAAGAGGAGGACAAUGCUAAAAUACAGGCACAGACCGGAUACGGAUUUUAGCCAAGAACAGGCAACUGGCCCAGUAAGGAAGCGGAAGAACUNUGUGCCAGUCAACUGACUUCCUGCAGUUCAGAAAUUAUGAAUACUGUGUGUGUUCAAUUAAUGAAUUCGCAUUGAUGUUAUGCAGAUAAAGAUAAAGUAAAAUGAAUCUACACAUUUGUGUCUUAAUUUGACUUUUGUGUUUAGCUUUCAAACAUGCGUUGCUNGAGACAUGUUCUAUUUUUGUUCAUGAAGGCUCCAUUUUUUUCC